UUUUCUCACCACUAUUUAGUACAACAAAUUACUGGGACACUGUAUAACUUAAUUUGAAAAAUUCUAAUAAACCGUACAUUUUUUUUUUAUAACUAUGUGUAUAAGUGUUGAUUACCAUUUUAAACUACGAUAAUGGCGGUAACUUAAAAAUAAAAAGUUUCCGAUAAAAAUAUGCAGUUGGAGAAAAAAUUUGCUUAAUGUACGGAGAUUGCGGGAAUAAUUCACCGUUUAUUAUUUUCCCGCCAAUAUUGCUUGAGGAGGAAGGAACUUUGUGUUCUUAGGUAGUUGAGAAUUCCUUGACUUGUCGAUGGAUGGAGGAUAGCAAUCUAGUAAAAGAACAUCACAAUAGUCCUUGAAAUUGGCGCGUUAUAAAAAGCUAAAAACAAAAAGAUAAUAACAAAAUUGUUGUACCAUUUCGCGUGAUCCUUGUAUAUUGGAGGAAUGUCUGGCUGUCUCUCUGUUUGGCUAAAAGUUUAUCCAGAUCAGCAUCAUCGCAUGGUUCGACAGACGUCCGCUGACAUCGACAUCGACAUCGACUCGGACUUGAGCGAUUUCAUCCUUAUCACAAUCACGGCGUAAAAUUUCCAGAGAGAAAUCCUAUAGAAUUAAUAUAAUAUGCAUAUGUAUGUAUGGUUUCAAUUUCAAUUAGUUGUAGAGGGACGCUCAAAUAUCGAGAUGGCGCUUUAAAGUUUUAAACAAUAAAUAUAUAAAGUUUUUAAUCAAUAAAUGAUUCUCAACCGGUUUACCCGGUUUAAAAAACAGUUUCGCUCAGACAAAUAGAGAAUGAAUAAUAUUAAUCUUAAAACUUCCUCUACUAUUUAUUAUAUUACAUAAUUUAUAUGGACAAUGUUUCAAAAAUCAACAUAAAACACUCAUACUUGGU
Molecule: long non-coding RNA, 883 nt
Organism: Drosophila willistoni
Lineage: Eukaryota; Metazoa; Arthropoda; Insecta; Diptera; Drosophilidae
Exons: 4
Source: RefSeq, a predicted model, not a curated record